GAUGAAGAACGUAGUGAAAUGCGAUAAGUAGUGUGAAUUGCAGAAUUCAGUGAAUCAUCGAAUCUUUGAACGCACAUUGCGCCCUUUGGUAUUCCUUAGGGUAUGCCUGUUCGAGCGUCAUUUAAACCUUCAAGCUAAGCUUGGUGUUGGGUGACUGUCCGCUUCACGGCGGACUCGCCUCAAAAUUAUUGGCGGCCGGUACAUUGGCUUCGAGCGCAGCAGAAACGCGAACUCGGGCCCGUCGUAUUGGCUCCCAGAAGCUAUCUUCACAAUUUUGACCUCGGAUCAGGUAGGGAUACCCGCUGAACUUAAGCAUAUCAAUAAGCGGAGGA
This 332-nucleotide unclassified non-coding RNA is filed under the name soil metagenome. Its description in RNAcentral is "partial contains 5.8S ribosomal RNA, internal transcribed spacer 2, and large subunit ribosomal RNA". The stretch from base 1 to 120 matches the Rfam family "5.8S ribosomal RNA", at positions 35 to 154 of the family's 154-position model. The record is from RNAcentral.